This 467-nucleotide ribosomal RNA is filed under the name uncultured bacterium. Its description in RNAcentral is "partial 16S ribosomal RNA". It matches the Rfam family "Bacterial small subunit ribosomal RNA", at positions 28 to 507 of the family's 1533-position model. The record is from RNAcentral.
GACGAACGCUGGCGGCGUGCUUAACACAUGCCAGUCGAACGGAAAGGCCCCAGCUUGCUGGAGUACUCGAGUGGCGAACGGGUGAGUAACACGUGGGUAAUCUGCCCUGCACUCUGGGAUAAGCCUGGGAAACUGGGUCUAAUACUGGAUAUGACCUUUCUCCUUAUGGGGUUUGGUGGAAAGUUUUUCGGUGUAGGAUGAGCCCGCGGCCUAUCAGCUUGUUGGUGGGGUGAUGGCCUACCAAGGCGACGACGGGUAGCCGGCCUGAGAGGGUGAUCGGCCACAUUGGGACUGAGAUACGGCCCAGACUCCUACGGGAGGCAGCAGUGGGGAAUAUUGCACAAUGGGCGGAAGCCUGAUGCAGCGACGCCGCGUGAGGGAUGACGGCCUUCGGGUUGUAAACCUCUUUCAGCAGGGACGAAGCGUAAGUGACGGUACCUGCAGAAGAAGCACCGGCUAACUAUGUG